This 449-nucleotide ribosomal RNA is filed under the name uncultured Anaerolineaceae bacterium. RNAcentral's name for it is "bacterial SSU rRNA". It matches the Rfam family "Bacterial small subunit ribosomal RNA", at positions 919 to 1382 of the family's 1533-position model. Lineage: Bacteria; Bacillati; Chloroflexota; Anaerolineae; Anaerolineales; Anaerolineaceae. The record is from RNAcentral.
ACCCGCACAAGCAGCGGAGCGUGUGGUUUAAUUCGUUGCUACACGAAGAACCUUACCUGGGUUUGACAUAUAGGUUGUAGGGAACUGAAAAGGGACCGACCUUCGGGGAGCCUAUACAGGUGUUGCAUGGCUGUCGUCAGCUCGUGUCGUGAGAUGUUCGGUUAAGUCCGCUAACGAGCGCAACCCUCGUCGUAUGUUAUAUGUGUCAUACGAGACUGCCGGUAAAAAGCCGGAGGAAGGUGAGGAUGAUGUCAAGUCAGCAUGACCUUUAUAUCCAGGGCUACACACACGCUACAAUGGUCUGUACAAUGGGUAGCCAAGCCGCGAGGCGGAACCAAUCCUGAAAGCAGGCCUCAGUUCAGAUUGCAGUCUGCAACUCGACUGCAUGAAGCCGGAGUUGCUAGUAACCGCAGGUCAGCAAUACUGCGGUGAAUACGUUCCCGGGUCUU